Molecule: unclassified non-coding RNA, 1324 nt
Filed under: Zea mays
Lineage: Eukaryota; Viridiplantae; Streptophyta; Magnoliopsida; Poales; Poaceae
Description: misc RNA Zm00001eb031230
Source: RNAcentral
AACAUGUUCACUCCAUAGCUAUAUAUGGGAGUUCAUCUAAUGUAUUAAUGAUGAAUGCAACCUCAUGCUGGUUAUGUAAUAGGAGUAUAAUUUGGACGAUUCUUAUUAUGCAAAAAUGUUUAAAAGACACAGUAUUCUUCAGACAUAGACGAAGUUUACUUUGUUCUUUUUUAUUUAUCACAUUUUAGUUAAUAAAGAACUGGCCGACGAUAAAUAUUUGAUAACGACAAGUCGAUAACGUACUACUAUGUUGUGCUGGCCUUCCUACCGAAGACUGGAUUCCCGUACGGUACGAAGUGGCACACCGGCGUGCCUAGGCGGACGCGCAGUAUCCGGAACGCCGGAUGGUCCGGGCUCCAGCCGGAGGUGUCGCGGUGGCAGAACGCCAGCACGUCGUCGAGCACCGGCCCCCCGCGGCCGCGAAGCGAGACCACGUAGGCCCUGUCCGUCUUCCUCGUCGUCAUGUGGCACUGGUACACGGCGUACGGGAACGGCACGCGGUGGCAGGCCACGAGUUGGUCUCCGUGGAGCGGGGCGACCGCCCCGACCACGUACCGCCCGCGCGGCAGGCCAGCGCGGAGGCGCGCCGACGUGGCCGCCGCCCACACACCGUCACCGCCGGCGGCGCCGAGCAUGCGCGUGGCGCUCCGCACCGUGCUUUCCAGCGACGUGGCGCAGGCGGCCACGCGCUCGCCGGCCGGCCGCGGCGGCGCCUCGCACCACCUGAGCGUGUCCCGCACGUGCUCGGCCUCGGCGGAGCCCCCGGCGACGCCGAACGUGGCGAAGACGGCCGUCAGGUUCGCGAAUGGAGCGGCGGCGGCGACGGCGUGCGGGAGGAUGGGUGUGUCCACUUCCGCCGGGAAGGAGAGCGCCAUGGCGCUGCCCGGACGCAGUUCCGCCUCGUGGAAGAAGAUGCCCGUCCCCGCCGCCACGCUGCGCGUGCACAGGUUGCUCCAUGCGCCGCACGCGCUGAGGCCGGGCGCCGAAGGGUAUCGCUCCACCAGCGGCGAGUGGUCGAUGCCUGUCGCAGCAGCAUCAGGAAACAAGAAGAAGAGUAACGUACACAGGCUGUAUAUAAGCACAAGGGGUACCUUUCUGGACGAGGUCAGCGAUGGCCUCCGGCAUCGGCGUGCCCGGGAGGGCCUGCUGCCAGAACUGCGCCGCCGGAGUGCUAGCGGAAGGGUGGUCAUGCGCCGCAGCGGCGCCGGUGACCACCACCGUCAAAAUGAGCAGUUUAGAUGGAUGCAUAUACAUGUCCCGCGACAAGCAAGAACAUAUAUAUUCGAGAAGAAGCGAGUAAGGAAGCUUGCCUCUUUGUUUCAGA